GACGUCGAAUAUCGACGUCAUAAACACCAAAGUUGAUCGUGUUUAUGACGUCGAAUAUGGACGUGAUAAACACCAAUGUUGAUCGUGUUUAUGAAGUCGAAUAUCGACGUCAUAAACAGCAAAGUUGAUCGUGUUUAUCACGUUGACGUCAUAAACACCAAAGUUAAUCGUGUUUAUGACGUCGAAUAUCGACGUCAUAAACAUCUAAUUUGAUCCUGCUUAUGACGUCGAAUAUCGACGUCAUAAACACGAUUAACUUUGGUGUUGAUGACGUCGAAUAUCGACGUC
Paramuricea clavata is the source of this 288-nucleotide non-coding RNA. NCBI's taxonomy places the organism in Eukaryota, Metazoa, Cnidaria, Anthozoa, Malacalcyonacea, Plexauridae. The record is from the annotation of a GenBank genome assembly.